Molecule: small RNA, 519 nt
Filed under: Pan troglodytes (chimpanzee)
Lineage: Eukaryota; Metazoa; Chordata; Mammalia; Primates; Hominidae
Description: processed transcript
Source: RNAcentral
AGGCCCUGGAGCGCGGCAGUGAUGGCGGGGCCGGUGAAGGACCGCGAGGCCUUCCAGAGGCUCAACUUCCUGUACCAGGUGAGUCUGCGACAAGGGCCCCACGGGGACGGUGCUCGGCGUCCCAGAGUGACUGCUCCCUUCCCGCAGGCCGCCCAUUGUGUCCUUGCCCAGGACCCCGAGAACCAGGCGCUGGCGAGGUUUUACUGCUACACUGAGAGGACCAUUGCGAAGCGGCUCGUCUUGCGGCGGCUGCAGGGGACAGCGCUGGACCGUACAGACCUGCCUAACAUGCCAGCGCAGCCAACGCUUCCUCAAUGAUCCCGGGCAUUUACUCUGGGGAGACAGGCCUGAGGCCCAGCUCGGGAGCCAAGCAGAUUCCAAACCACUACAACCCUUGCCAAACACAGCCCACUCCAUUUCAGACCGCCUCCCUGAGGAGAAAAUGCAGACUCAGGGUUCCAGUAACCAGUGAUGGAUUCACCCCAUCUCCCAAAUAAAGUUUACUUGUUUUACAUUCCA